RNAcentral lists this ribosomal RNA (253 nucleotides) under uncultured bacterium. Its description in RNAcentral is "partial 16S ribosomal RNA". It matches the Rfam family "Bacterial small subunit ribosomal RNA", at positions 524 to 776 of the family's 1533-position model. The record is from RNAcentral.
UACGUAGGGGGCAAGCGUUGUCCGGAAUCAUUGGGCGUAAAGAGCGUGUAGGCGGCCUGGUAAGUCCGCUGUGAAAGUCCAGGGCUCAACCCUGGAAUGCCGGUGGAAACUGUCAGGCUCGAGUCCGGAAGAGGCGAGUGGAAUUCCUGGUGUAGCGGUGAAAUGCGCAGAUAUCAGGAGGAACACCGGUGGCGAAGGCGGGUCUCUGGGCCGAUACUGACGCUGAGAAGCGAAAGCGUGGGGAGCGAACAGG